ACACAUGCAAGUCGAGGGGAAACGACAUCGAAAGCUUGCUUUUGAUGGGCGUCGACCGGCGCACGGGUGAGUAACGCGUAUCCAACCUGCCCACCACUUGGGGAUAACCUUGCGAAAGUAAGACUAAUACCCAAUGACGUCUCUAGAAGACAUCUGAAAGAGAUUAAAGAUUUAUCGGUGAUGGAUGGGGAUGCGUCUGAUUAGCUUGUUGGCGGGGUAACGGCCCACCAAGGCAACGAUCAGUAGGGGUUCUGAGAGGAAGGUCCCCCACAUUGGAACUGAGACACGGUCCAAACUCCUACGGGAGGCAGCAGUGAGGAAUAUUGGUCAAUGGACGAGAGUCUGAACCAGCCAAGUAGCGUGCAGGAUGACGGCCCUAUGGGUUGUAAACUGCUUUUAUAAGGGAAUAAAGUGAGUCUCGUGAGACUUUUUGCAUGUACCUUAUGAAUAAGGACCGGCUAAUUCCGUGCCAGCAGCCGCGGUAAUACGGAAGGUCCGGGCGUUAUCCGGAUUUAUUGGGUUUAAAGGGAGCGUAGGCCGGAGAUUAAGCGUGUUGUGAAAUGUAGACGCUCAACGUCUGCACUGCAGCGCGAACUGGUUUCCUUGAGUACGCACAAAGUGGGCGGAAUU
This 630-nucleotide ribosomal RNA is filed under the name uncultured bacterium. RNAcentral's name for it is "bacterial SSU rRNA". It matches the Rfam family "Bacterial small subunit ribosomal RNA", at positions 51 to 668 of the family's 1533-position model. The record is from RNAcentral.